AAUGAGAGAAUGGUAAAUCAGAUUUUUCCUCUUGAUUUUCAGCCUUUUCCUCCUGAAAAAAUUCAAAUCAAACUAAAAACAUUAAAAAUCAAGAAAAAAAAUCUGAUUUGUCAUUCUCCCAUU
Molecule: non-coding RNA, 123 nt
Organism: Gossypium hirsutum (cotton)
Lineage: Eukaryota; Viridiplantae; Streptophyta; Magnoliopsida; Malvales; Malvaceae
Source: Rfam